AUUAAACUUUAUUAAUAAUGGGGUCAGAGGCUGCAUUGUCCAAGCUACAGGAGGGCUUUUCCCAGUGCUGUCUGCAUUCACCCACAGUGUGGGCCUGUCUCCUCCAGCAGGAGGCGCCGGGGGACACACACCCAGCGCAGGGCCCGUCCCCUCCAGCAGGGGGCGCCAGGGACACACAUAGCGCAAAUCCAGGCCCCUCCAGCAGGGGUCGCCAGGGACACACACCCAGCACAGGGCCUGUCCCCUCCAGCAGGGGGCGCCAGGGACACACAGCGCAGGGCCCGUCCCCUCCAGCAGGGGGUGCCAGGGACACACACAGAGUGCAGGGCCCGUCCCCUCCAGCAGGGGGUGCCAGGGACACACACAGAGUGCAGGGCCCGUCCCCUCCAGCAGGGGACACCAGGGACACACACAGAGUGCAGGGCCCGUCCCCUCCAGCAGGGGACACCAGGGACACACACACACAGUGCAGGGCUCGGCCCCUCCAGCAGGGGGUGCCAGGGACACACACAGAGCGCAGGGCCCGGCCCAUCCAGCAGGGGGUGCCACAGACAGCUGGACACACAUGGUUUAGUAUCAGUCUAGGUGUAAUUCCCACAGUCACAUCAAGACUGUAACAGAGCCCCCACCCCCACCCUGGUGCUGCUUCUCCCCAUAUGCCCAGUAGGGGGCACUGCACUCCCCUCGGGGGGGGGGGGGGAGGCAUCCAUGGUUCUAUUUGAUGCAGUUCUGAAUACAGCAUCCUCCAGCCAUAGUUUGGUGGGGGGAGAGGGGUUAUAGGGCUCAGCACCCUCCCCCCCAGUAGCCCAGCUGUGGGUCUGGGAACAGACAAGGCACUUUUCAGGGUGUCCUGGGUUGUUCCCACAACAGGCAACUUGUGUCAGCAGGAGAGGGCUGGACAUAGAGCAAAAGAGGGGGGGAGGUGGACACAUAAUGGACAGAGCCAUGGCUGGGGGACAGACAGACAGCUAUUUGGGGUGUGCUGGGAGGGAUGGAGAGGGGGUGUGGAAGGGAUGGAUGGAUAGAUACAGGGGUUGGGGGAUGGAUGGAUAGAUAGAGGCAGUGGGGGGAGAUGGAUAGAGGGUGUGUGGAGGGGACAUGGAUAGACAGAGGGGCAGGGGAUGGACAGAUGGAUAGAUACAGGGCUUGAGGGGAGGGAGGGAUGGGUAGAUAGAGACGGUGGGAGGAAGUUGGAUAGAUAGAUACAGGGUUUGGGGGGGAAGAUGGAUGGAUGGAUAGAGGGGUGGGGGGAAGUUGGAU
Long non-coding RNA from Gopherus flavomarginatus (Mexican gopher tortoise), 1260 nucleotides. RefSeq lists it as uncharacterized. The record is from RefSeq and is a predicted model, not a curated record. NCBI's taxonomy places the organism in Eukaryota, Metazoa, Chordata, Testudines, Testudinidae. The transcript has 3 exons.